Molecule: ribosomal RNA, 116 nt
Filed under: Danio rerio (zebrafish)
Lineage: Eukaryota; Metazoa; Chordata; Actinopteri; Cypriniformes; Danionidae
Source: RNAcentral
UGCCACAGCCAUAUCAUCCUGCAGCCCAAGACCUGUUACUCUCUGAAGCUAAGCUGGGCCGAGUCUGGUCAGUACCUGGAUGAGAGACUAUGGGCCCUAUCAUACACCUGGCGCAA